Dreissena polymorpha is the source of this 373-nucleotide long non-coding RNA. RefSeq lists it as uncharacterized. NCBI's taxonomy places the organism in Eukaryota, Metazoa, Mollusca, Bivalvia, Myida, Dreissenidae. The transcript is spliced from 6 exons. The record is from RefSeq and is a predicted model, not a curated record.
CGACUAAGCCGAGGGCCACUGGAUAAGGGUUGUUGAUGGUAAAACAGGUAGAGUUAUGUCUGCGACUAAGCCGAGGGCCACUGGAUAAGGGUUGUUGAUGGUAAAACAGGUAGAGUUAUGUCUGCGACUAAGCCGAGGGCCACUGGAUAAGGGUUGUUGAUGGUAAAACAGGUAGAGUUAUGUCUGCGACUAAGCCGAGGGCCACUGGAUAAGGGUUGUUGAUGGUAAAACAGGUAGAGGAAUGUCUGCGACUAAGCCGAGGGCCACUGGAUAAGGGUUGUUGAUGGUAAAACAGAUUGGAGACUACAUAAGACUUUGACAGAUGGCGGGAAACCCUCAUGAACUGGAUAGAAGCCGGAAAAUAGAUGGCCGU